UCAUUCUGAGUGGAAAAUACUUGGGGUUAGUUAUUAUACUUUUCUCAUAUGUGAAGACGCAUGCAUAAUCAGUGUAACUAAAGCUGUGAUCAAUAAAAGGAAAUAUGAAGGAACGUAUAAAAUCGUACAAUUAAGAACGACGUCUAUGCUAUGUAAAUCAGAUGUCUAAUAGACGUAACAUUCAAAUAUUAAACGUCUGUAAUACGUCUCCCGGAGAUCGCUGGAACAUCGGAAAAGACGUCUAUGCGACGUCUUCCAGAUGAGCAAACGCCCUAAAAACGACGUCUCCCAGAUGCAAAAGCAUACAUCGCACAGACGUCCCCGCGACGUACCUGUGCUAUCCCAGUCAGCACAUGUACGUCUGGCCGACGUCGGCCCAAUAUCGAAACGUCGGCCUCUAUACCUAAAACAUCUAUAAAACAUCGGCCUGGCGGAGGCCGAUAUAAUUUGGUCAGUGCUCUGUUCUCCAGCUCAUCAAUCGUCGGCCCUGAGUUGGUUCACGACCGCAGGGCCGAUGCCGCGCUUCUCUGUGUGCGCGUGCCCAGUAUUCGUCUCUUUUAGCCACCCAGAGAGAGAGAAGAGGAUAAUCCCAGCGACAUCUGUGGCUCUGAGGCUUUCAGAAAUAAUCCGGUGAAAUAAUAUGAUGUUUGUUUGUGUAAAUGCUGUGUGUGCGUUGAGUCCUGCGCGAGCGGGGAGCAGAGUUGCCAUGGAAACGGGGCAUCAACACAAAAACCGUUACUGGCAAGCAGUAAUCUCCGUAUCUCGCUGCAGUUUACACUGUUUUGGAAACGGUUUAGUGUCUUCGGAAAAGUCCGUUAUCAUUUUAGCAGUUUUCAGAUGUUUGUGUAAAUGCUGUGUGCGCGUUGAGUCCUGCGCGAGCGGGGAGCAGAGUUGCCAUGGAAACGGGGCGUCAACACAAAAACCGUUACUGGCAAGCAGUAAUCUCCGUCUCUCGCUGCAGUUUACACUGUUUUGGAAACGGUUUAGUUUCUUCGGAAAAGUCCGUUAGCAUUUUACCAGCUUUCAGGUAGGCUAACUCUAUAGAUUGAGCUCUUGUUGAUGAAACUCUGGGCUUUUAAUCAAAUCUUCGUGUGUGUAUGAGAUAUUUUGAUGGCACUUUGAAUGUUUUGCUGGUGAUUUGUCAGUAUGUUAUUGGAAAAGGCUGA
Carassius auratus (goldfish) is the source of this 1166-nucleotide long non-coding RNA. RefSeq lists it as uncharacterized. The record is from RefSeq and is a predicted model, not a curated record. The transcript is spliced from 6 exons. Lineage: Eukaryota; Metazoa; Chordata; Actinopteri; Cypriniformes; Cyprinidae.